Molecule: long non-coding RNA, 562 nt
Organism: Amblyraja radiata (thorny skate)
Lineage: Eukaryota; Metazoa; Chordata; Chondrichthyes; Rajiformes; Rajidae
Exons: 3
Source: RefSeq, a predicted model, not a curated record
CAUUGUGGGUCGAAGGCCUUUUCCUGUGCUGUACAGUUCUAUGUUCUAUCAGAAAAUAUCUCGUCGGGGGGAAAAGGGGAAUGGAGGAAAUAACUGAAGAUGGUUGGGCUUUGGAACCUUUUAUCUCCUGUAGUGGAAGUAAUUCGGCUCUGGGCCUAUACUUGAUUUUUACUUUAUAAUCACAACCACAUUCCUCUGUGCAGAAUGAUUAUAUAAUGGAGACUUUUCAAUCAAGGGGAUUAGGGGUAAAACUUUGGGGCGGUUGGUUUUUGCCCCCCCAUCAAAUUAAGGAAUUUUAAAUUAUGAUUUAAACCUUUCCUAGCCAGUUACCUGUCCGCAACUUUUGAACAAUUGAGGUUUCAUGCAUGGAUAGAUGAUUGUUCUUCUUCUUGCAUUUGGUGCGCACAGCCUAAAGUUGUAGGACAACUUGUUCUAUUUGAUCUUAUUUGAUUGUGCACGCCAGGUUGAUUACAUUCGUCGAAACAGGGCGGACCACGUGAACGUUGCAAUCUCCCAGCCCAUAAACAACCCUCUGACUGAAGAUGCUGCUCUUGAUCACCUU